CAGGGCUCAGUCACCAACUAUUCAUAAGAGGGUAAGGAGACAGAUGCAGGCAGGGAGCGGGAGGAGGGAAUGGGAAUGAGCUGAGCAGCAGCAUCACAGCUGGAGGACUGGACAUGGAUGACCAGCUCCUCACUUCCAGGUGUUUCCACAUCAAGCAUCCUGCAGACAGCUAACAAGUUCAUUCUACAAAGUACAGUUCUCACCACUUUAUCCUUCCUCUGCUCGGAAACAGUCAAUGGUUUCCCACUGUCCACAGGGGAUGCUUAACGCAUGUGGGUUAUGCAGCUAGAAAGACAAGGCACAACCUCUUUGGUCUCUGCCUCUUUUCAUGGCACAGACACCAAAAGCCAUCUCAUGGAUGACCAGACAACGUGGAGAAAAGAGCUCUCCUAGAAAGCCAAGGCCCAGAAGAGUGAGGAGAAGGCCUGUGUCCGGCAGGGUCUACUGAUUCUAAGCCUACGACAUACUGAGAAGAAAAUCAACUCUCUAUCAAGGAAUGUGAUAGAUGUGGGGUGAGCAGGGGAGGGGAGAAAAAAAAGUAGUGCUGGCAAUGCAGGAGGAAGGGAAGGGGAAGGGCGGUGACGAGGGGCAGAAGAGGAAAGGGGAAGUAGAGAGAGAAAACAAAUGUGGAACCAAAAAGGUAAAAUGUUGCCUUCCCAGAGGGUAAACAGCUCACCUGAACUUCAUUUCAACAUUGAACAUUUAGCUAAUGUCCAUUUUAUAAUCCUAAAAGUGUAUUUCUGAUAUGUUUUCAGAUCUUUUAUUUUAGAAUAGAUCACAGUUACAAUACAGUCUCACCUGCAAUCGA
Molecule: long non-coding RNA, 808 nt
Filed under: Pan troglodytes (chimpanzee)
Lineage: Eukaryota; Metazoa; Chordata; Mammalia; Primates; Hominidae
Description: long non-coding RNA NONPTRT009146
Source: RNAcentral